CGCGGGGUGGAGCAGCCCGGUAGCUCGUCAGGCUCAUAACCUGAAGGCCGCAGGUUCAAAUGCGGCGCAGCAUCCGGCGCCGUGA
Molecule: transfer RNA, 85 nt
Filed under: Neorhizobium galegae
Lineage: Bacteria; Pseudomonadati; Pseudomonadota; Alphaproteobacteria; Hyphomicrobiales; Rhizobiaceae
Description: tRNA-Met
Source: RNAcentral